RNAcentral lists this long non-coding RNA (1088 nucleotides) under Ursus maritimus (polar bear). Its description in RNAcentral is "lncRNA (ENSUMAG00000002530.1)". Lineage: Eukaryota; Metazoa; Chordata; Mammalia; Carnivora; Ursidae. The record is from RNAcentral.
CCCAUGCGUCCUGAGCCUGUUUCAUUUGUAAAAGAGAGCAGGGAUGAGGAUCCUUGAAGUGUCCUGCUGUGUAAAGGCUACCGAGGCAGCCAGCCAGGCGAACCAUAGGAGUGAAAAGAGGCAGCACCCGGGAAGCUACCUUGAAAACAGGAAACGGACGGUCAGAUGUGUGGUGGGCCAUGAAAUGGAUCCUGCUGAGUCUCUGACAUACGCCUAUUCGCCCUGGUCACCACGUGAGACCCUGUCUUCGCGGCAACCCUGUCUUACCUGAAUCCUGGGGCCUCGAGCUGCAGGGAGGAAAUGGCCGAGUCAAGGGAACCCCAUACCCUGCCUCCCCCGAGAAAGCUUCCUAAGCAAGAUCCAGUAUCUCUCGACCCCACCUUCACCAGCUAGCAGACGCCAGCCCCUCUCUGGCAGCAUGAUACCUCUGUCCCGCGUGCUGCAAAGAAGACUUCUGUGUUUGCGUGCCCUCCCUGUGCGUGCCUGUGUCCCUGCUCUGCUGGAGCAGUAGGAGAUGUCACCCUUCCCAGAAGAAUCCUGGACGUGUCCGCAACUGGCUGUCAGCCCCCAGUACUUGGCCUACUGUCUCCUCGGCUUGGCGGCAGAGGAAGGAAGCAUGACUGCUAUUGUUCCUUGGCUCCUUUCUUUUUGCCCAAAAGUUUCCUCAUAGAGCAAAACUGCUGAGUGUCCUGGAUUUGUCAACAUUCCUUCAUGAAACAGAGGAAAAUCACAUUUGGGAACCAGUGGGACUUGUAAGCUCCGCUCUCCAAGUCUCUGUUGAAUACAGAUCCCCGUGCUAAGAAACAAACCGAGAAACAUUUACAUACAAAGUAAUAUUUGAAAUUGAAAUUGGUUCUCUUGUAAUACUUCCAUAUCCAGAACAGGAUAUUUUCUUUUUGAAUAGACUGAUGCAGGACUGCCAACUUUGCCUUCUCAGAAAGGACAAAAAUCUUCAUUAACACCAUGUAUAUAUGAUGUUAAAAUGUCCUUUUUUAAAGAAGAAGAUGGCAGUAAUUGACGGUAGUUGUUUUUAAAAUAUCCUCACUCAGCAAAAUAAAUGUUGGCAACCCUGUGUUUGUUCUAAUGCU